RNAcentral lists this ribosomal RNA (225 nucleotides) under uncultured bacterium. RNAcentral's name for it is "partial 16S ribosomal RNA". It matches the Rfam family "Bacterial small subunit ribosomal RNA", at positions 109 to 334 of the family's 1533-position model. The record is from RNAcentral.
CGUAACACGUAUGUAACCUACCUUUACCAGGGGGAUAGCCUCUCGAAAGAGAGAUUAAGACCGCAUAAAAUGAAGACACAGCAUUGUGAUUUCAUCAAAUAUUUAUAGGGUAAAGAUGGGCAUGCGGAACAUUAGCUAGUUGGUAAGGUAAUGGCUUACCAAGGCUACGAUGUUUAGGGGAUCUGAGAGGAUGACCCCCCACACUGGUACUGAGACACGGCCCAG